GUUCCUGUAGCGCAAUGGAUAGCGCGUUGGACUUCUAAUUGAAAGGUCGUGGGUUCGAAUUCCACCUGGGAUG
RNAcentral lists this transfer RNA (73 nucleotides) under Trichonephila inaurata madagascariensis. It matches the Rfam family "tRNA". Rfam says of the family: Transfer RNA (tRNA) molecules are approximately 80 nucleotides in length. The record is from Rfam by way of RNAcentral. Lineage: Eukaryota; Metazoa; Arthropoda; Arachnida; Araneae; Nephilidae.